AUAAGACAAUAUCAGACCAAUCAGCGAGGGGCAUGCUGGAGGCGUCACCGCAUCAGCUGGCCGCCUCACACCUGUCACCCGCGUGUGUUUACAGUGAGGCAGGGUUUACACGGGGAUGCUUUAGACUAAUCUCCACUGUAUCGAUAGGCUAGAUUAUCUAGCGUGUGUGUGUCUGUUUUUGGUUUAUUUUAUUCAGGUUAUGAUGGAAUAGGAUCAAUUAUAUCAAAUUACCUUACACUCACAUGACAAACUACCAACAUUUUUGAUUGACUUUUUACUUCUCAAACUCCCAAUAUUUUUUCGGUUCACCCCUCCAUAUUCCAUUUCGUCCAUAUGACCAAGAAAACGGCAUUUCUCUCACAGGAAAGGAGAACACAUACAUGAUCAACGAGUGUUUGCUCCACCAGCCAGUCAGCAUUGCCCUUCCACCUCGGCUAGUCGGCAGGAAUGAGGUCAGCAGCAGUUCUAUGGCGCUUGACCUGUCCCUGCUGCAGCUCCUCGAAGUGUCUCUUUUUCACUGGCCGCCGGUUGGUGAAUCACAGGUCAACGCACGACUCGCUCUGUGACCUGUGUCAGUGUGGAUGGCCUGGAGAAGAGAUGGUUUACAGUGGCGAGGUUAGGGGGCAGUGUGUCACUAUUGUUGUCUCGUCGAGCGAGUGACAGCGGCGAGAGAUGAGAGCGGACGCCAAACUGCCGAGGAUGACCUUGGGAACUGCCGAUACCAAGGCCUGCCUCAGGAGAAGUCCUGAGACACCUACAGCAUCAAGAAGAUCAAGAUGUGCUGUCAGCCAGGCAGGCAGCAACCAUUGAACCAGCUCCUUUAAAGAUGAUGUGUGUAUCCUUGCCCCAUCAUGUUUUCCGCCUUUCUCACUAUCUCAGCUGUCAUGCCGCCCCCUGACUGAACACACAGGAAGUGCUGCACUGGUAGCGUGGCGUCGAGGGAAGCGCCUCUUUGUAUCCCUGCCCAAUACUUUAUUGAACAUAUGAAGAUGCUCCAGAGUUUCAAGAAGGGAAUGACACACACACUUUGCUGUACUCCAAGCUUUUGGAAGUCCAGCGGCACACUGCACACUGCUUUCAAAAACGUGUGUGCAGAGUGCAAGACAAAGAGGGGCAAGGAUGGAGAAUGCUUCAAUAUUCACAGCAUCAUUGGUUCAUGCUUUCUUUUUUGUGGAAAGUAGUGCACACAGUUUUAACCGAAGGAUUAUGUCAUCAUUCAUAUUCAUAGAUUUCAUGACUUAACAUUGUGUUGACCUUUGUGUAACAAGUCACUUCAUUACAUGUAAGCAUAUAUUUAGCUACAAGGAGUAACGUUUUAUGAAAUUUGUAAUGUAUAAAACUGACUUGUAAGAGAUCUUGCAUUAUGAAGACUUGUUUAGAGGUCUUUGUUUAUUAGCAUGAUCUAGUUGUGUCAGUCUUAACAGUCCAGAUUGUACAGACAUGAACCAUUGUCCAUUGCACUUCUUUGAGAUGGAAUUUCAGUUAACGCUGCAAGAUGUGUGUGUGUGUAUUUACCUAGUUGUAGUUUUACAGGGCCUGGGUUUUACGCUCGUGUGGCCUCGUCUCCAUAUCUACACUUAUCCAAUUUUUCUUUAAUAAAACUAUGCACACUCAUU
Portunus trituberculatus (swimming crab) is the source of this 1616-nucleotide long non-coding RNA. RefSeq lists it as uncharacterized. NCBI's taxonomy places the organism in Eukaryota, Metazoa, Arthropoda, Malacostraca, Decapoda, Portunidae. The transcript has 5 exons. The record is from RefSeq and is a predicted model, not a curated record.